UACGUAGGGGGCAAGCGUUGUCCGGAAUUAUUGGGCGUAAAGCGCGCGCAGGCGGUCUUUUAAGUUUGGUGUUUAAGCCCGGGGCUCAACCCCGGUUCGCACUGAAAACUGGGAGACUUGAGUGCAGGAGAGGAAAGCGGAAUUCCACGUGUAGCGGUGAAAUGCGUAGAGAUGUGGAGGAACACCAGUGGCGAAGGCGGCUUUCUGGACUGUAACUGACGCUGAGGCGCGAAAGCGUGGGGAGCAAACAGG
This 252-nucleotide ribosomal RNA is filed under the name uncultured bacterium. Its description in RNAcentral is "partial 16S ribosomal RNA". It matches the Rfam family "Bacterial small subunit ribosomal RNA", at positions 524 to 776 of the family's 1533-position model. The record is from RNAcentral.